This 434-nucleotide ribosomal RNA is filed under the name uncultured bacterium. RNAcentral describes it as "partial 16S ribosomal RNA". It matches the Rfam family "Bacterial small subunit ribosomal RNA", at positions 29 to 507 of the family's 1533-position model. The record is from RNAcentral.
AGCGAACGCUGGCGGCAGGCCUAACACAUGCAAGUCGAACGAACCUUUCGGGGUUAGUGGCGGACGGGUGAGUAACACGUGGGAACGUGCCUUUAGGUUCGGAAUAACUCAGGGAAACUUGUGCUAAUACCGAAUGUGCCCUUCGGGGGAAAGAUUUAUCGCCUUUAGAGCGGCCCGCGUCUGAUUAGCUAGUUGGUUGAGGUAAUGGCUCACCAAGGCGACGAUCAGUAGCUGGUCUGAGAGGAUGAUCAGCCACAUUGGGACUGAGACACGGCCCAAACUCCUACGGGAGGCAGCAGUGGGGAAUCUUGCGCAAUGGGCGAAAGCCUGACGCAGCCAUGCCUCGUGAAUGAUGAAGGUCUUAGGAUUGUAAAAUUCUUUCACCGGGGACGAUAAUGACGGUACCCGGAGAAGAAGCCCCGGCUAACUUCGUG